Molecule: ribosomal RNA, 484 nt
Filed under: uncultured bacterium
Lineage: Bacteria
Description: partial 16S ribosomal RNA
Rfam family: Bacterial small subunit ribosomal RNA
Source: RNAcentral
AUUGAACGCUGGCGGCAGGCCUAACACAUGCAAGUCGAGCGGAUGAAGGGAGCUUGCUCCUGGAUUCAGCGGCGGACGGGUGAGUAAUGCCUAGGAAUCUGCCUGGUAGUGGGGGAUAACGUCCGGAAACGGGCGCUAAUACCGCAUACGUCCUGAGGGAGAAAGUGGGGGAUCUUCGGACCUCACGCUAUCAGAUGAGCCUAGGUCGGAUUAGCUAGUUGGUGGGGUAAAGGCCUACCAAGGCGACGAUCCGUAACUGGGCUGAGAGGAUGAUCAGUCACAGUGGAACUGAGACACGGUCCAGACUCCUACAGGAGGCAGCAGUGGUGAAUAUUGGACAAUGGGCGAAAGCCUGAGCCAGCCAGGCCGCGGGUGUGAAGAAGGUCUUCGGAUUGUAAAGCACUUUAAGUUGGGAGGAAGGGCAGUAAGUUAAUACCUUGCUGUUUUGACGUUACCAACAGAAUAAGCACCGGCUAACUUCGUG